Molecule: ribosomal RNA, 397 nt
Filed under: uncultured bacterium
Lineage: Bacteria
Description: partial 16S ribosomal RNA
Rfam family: Bacterial small subunit ribosomal RNA
Source: RNAcentral
AUACGUAGGGGGCGAGCGUUGUCCGGAAUGAUUGGGCGUAAAGGGCGCGUAGGCGGCCCGGUAAGUCUGGAGUGAAAGUCCUGUUUUUAAGAUGGGAAUUGCUUUGGGUACUGUCGGGCUUGAGUGCAGGAGAGGUAAGUGGAAUUCCCAGUGUAGCGGUGAAAUGCGUAGAGAUUGGGAGGAACACCAGUGGCGAAGGCGACUUACUGGACUGUAACUGACGCUGAGGCGCGAAAGUGUGGGGAGCAAACAGGAUUAGAUACCCUGGUAGUCCACACUGUAAACGAUGAAUGCUAGGUGUAGGGGGUAUCGACCCCUUCUGUGCCGCAGUCAACACAAUAAGCAUUCCGCCUGGGGAGUACGGCCGCAAGGUUGAAACUCAAAUGAAUUGACGGGG